UACGUAGGGGGCAAGCGUUGUCCGGAAUCAUUGGGCGUAAAGAGCGUGUAGGCGGCUCGGUAAGUCCGCUCUGAAAGCCCGGGGCUCAACCCCGGGAGGCGGGCGGAUACUGUCGAGCUAGAGUCCGGAAGAGGAGAGUGGAAUUCCUGGUGUAGCGGUGAAAUGCGCAGAUAUCAGGAAGAACACCCGUGGCUAAGGCGGCUCUCUAGUACGGUACUGACGCUGAGACGCGAAAGCGUGGGGAGCGAACAGG
RNAcentral lists this ribosomal RNA (253 nucleotides) under uncultured bacterium. Its description in RNAcentral is "partial 16S ribosomal RNA". It matches the Rfam family "Bacterial small subunit ribosomal RNA", at positions 524 to 776 of the family's 1533-position model. The record is from RNAcentral.